UUCCUCCUUCCUCCUCGCGCUCAAGCAGUCACCGUCACGUGGUCUUAAGAGGUAGGCAAAUAUAGUGGUUCAAGGCGGACAGGUUUUGCCAAGAAAGUUCUUUGGAAAAAAUACAUUCUUUUAGGGCACAUAACGCUUACUUACGGUGAAUAACGGAUGAAAUCGUCAUUGUGAACUAUAUCUUCAUUUUGUUUGGGUUAAGGUUCGGUUUGAUGAAGCGAAACAAAUGAACAAGAACACUGAAACGUCUUGCGUGUUUUGUGCUGGGUGACGUCGCUGCCUCGGCCGGGUAUAUAAAGGAGGGUUUAACCGCCUGUGGGCAUUGCCAACUGUUCCCUGUGCUAGAACAUAAGAGCUGGAAACCGUGCUUUCGUGCUGUUGAACUUGAAGAGCUUCUCAUCUCUACUUCGAAGCCUUCGCAGCGACUUUCUCCUUUCCUGAGCUUCCAAGCAGCUGUUUAGAUCAGCACGUGAGUGAGACUCAACCCCGAGUGCGACGAGAUGCAGCAAUCCGGCAAGAGCGAGCCCGUCCCCGUGCUGACUCGCGUCCGCAGCAAGACGUUCAUCGUCACCGGCGAGCGCCCGAGGGCGUCCCGAGCAUGGGCGCCGCCGUCAAGGGACUCCUGAAGGACUGGCUCAAAUCUGGGAGCGUCUUCGCCGCGCACCAGAAGGGCUUCAUCCUCCCCGGAACGUGGACUCAGAGCCUCGCGAUGGCCCAGUGAGAGCGGGCUGGUGCGAGAUGCGACGGCGUCCACAGCUCAAGCCAAGACUGCAUCGCUGUACAAGAGAUGCAGUUUGAACCGGCCAAAGAUGGCUUUCUGAAUGUGUAGAAUGGAAUUCUAUCAAUAUUUUGGAAGUUCAU
Penaeus vannamei (Pacific white shrimp) is the source of this 861-nucleotide non-coding RNA. The record is from RefSeq and is a predicted model, not a curated record. NCBI's taxonomy places the organism in Eukaryota, Metazoa, Arthropoda, Malacostraca, Decapoda, Penaeidae.